UACAGAGGUCCCAAGCGUUGUUCGGAUUCACUGGGCGUAAAGGGUGCGUAGGCGGUCGGGUAAGUCUGAUGUGAAAUCUCACAGCUUAACUGUGAAACUGCAUUGGAUACUAUCCGGCUCGAGGAAUGGAGGGGAGACUGGAAUACUUGGUGUAGCAGUGAAAUGCGUAGAUAUCAAGUGGAACACCAGUGGCGAAGGCGAGUCUCUGGGCUGACACUGACGCUCAUGCACGAAAGCGUGGGGAGCAAACAGG
Molecule: ribosomal RNA, 253 nt
Filed under: uncultured bacterium
Lineage: Bacteria
Description: partial 16S ribosomal RNA
Rfam family: Bacterial small subunit ribosomal RNA
Source: RNAcentral